RNAcentral lists this long non-coding RNA (957 nucleotides) under Citrus x clementina. RNAcentral describes it as "Citrus clementina (C. clementina) long non-coding RNA (CCLE_LNC000388)". Lineage: Eukaryota; Viridiplantae; Streptophyta; Magnoliopsida; Sapindales; Rutaceae. The record is from RNAcentral.
UAUAAUUAAACUUAAUUUACAAUUAUAACAUAAUAAUUAAAUUAACCCUAUAUAUAGCCUUGUAUGUAGCCACAAUAUAAUAUUUACAGUAACUACAUAAUUAAUUAAUUAACAUGAAUACAUUUAGCUAAAAUUAUUAAAUUAUAGAUUCAAUUAUAAGCUUAAAUGAAAAACAUUAAUUAAUAUUUAUGAAAUUAAAAUUACCAAAGCUAGAUAGCUAAUGCCGGCGGUAGAAGUGAGAAGUCGCAGGACGUGUGCGUAGCAGCUGAACGUGUGCGUUGGCUGGCAGGCGGACGCGGUAGGACGACGACAAACGACGGCUAGUUCACGUCGUUGCGCAGCUGACUGCGAUUGGAGUUGGAACAAGCUGCAGGCAUCACACGACAGCAAGACAAAUGGCUGAUUCAGGCGUGCGACAGACGGUCACGAUGCUAGCUGCUAGGACGGCGGUUGAGGGCUGACUUAGGGUUUUUGUAAAUUUGUGUAAGUGUAUGAGAUUUACGGUUUAGAGUGAGGUGUGUUGUGUGCAUGUGUUGUGUGAUCUGUCAUCUGUGUUGUGUGCGUGUGUGAUGCAUAUAUGAUUUGUGUUGUGUGCGUGUGUGAUGUUGUGAUGUGUGCGUGUGUGUUAGCUUUUUCUUUUUCAAAUAGGGUCGGAUCGGCUUAAGCCCGACCCGACCCAAAAUUUGUUCGGACUUAAAAAUUUUGACACAAACCGGACCCUAAAUCUAAAAAUUUAGAUUAAAACCCUAAAAAUUAUGGUCGGAUCAGUUGGGCUAAAUUGUCAAGCCUACUAAUACAUCGAAAGCAAUAAAGAGUUUAUAAUUUAAAGAAAAGGAAAAAAAAUCCACGACCAAAAAACUGAAAUUAGAGAUCAAUUUGCAAAACAGUAGAGUGAGAAAAUACAACUUGCAACUUAAAGUAGUGAGAGGAAAUGAGUAAUGAUAAUUUUGAAAUUUA